This 2790-nucleotide ribosomal RNA is filed under the name Vibrio parahaemolyticus. Its description in RNAcentral is "bacterial LSU rRNA". It matches the Rfam family "Bacterial large subunit ribosomal RNA". The record is from RNAcentral. Lineage: Bacteria; Pseudomonadati; Pseudomonadota; Gammaproteobacteria; Vibrionales; Vibrionaceae.
AGCGUACACGGUGGAUGCCUUGGCAGUCAGAGGCGAUGAAAGACGUAGUAACUUGCGAUAAGCCCAGAUUAGGUAGUAACAACCAUUUGAGUCUGGGAUUUCUGAAUGGGGAAACCCACGUGCAUAAGCACGUAUCCUUACCUGAAUACAUAGGGUAAGGAGGCGAACCGGGGGAACUGAAACAUCUAAGUACCCCGAGGAAAAGAAAUCAACCGAGAUUCCGAAAGUAGCGGCGAGCGAAAUUGGACUAGCCCUUAAGCUUUACACGCGUUAGACGAACGGUCUGGAAAGUCCGACGAUACAGGGUGAUAGUCCCGUAGUUGACGACGUGUGUUCAGUGAAAUCGAGUAGGGCGGGACACGUGAUAUCCUGUCUGAAUAUGGGGGGACCAUCCUCCAAGGCUAAAUACUACUGACUGACCGAUAGUGAACCAGUACCGUGAGGGAAAGGCGAAAAGAACCCCUGUGAGGGGAGUGAAAUAGAACCUGAAACCGUGUACGUACAAGCAGUAGGAGCAGGCUUUGUCCUGUGACUGCGUACCUUUUGUAUAAUGGGUCAGCGACUUAUAUUCAGUGGCAAGGUUAACCAUCUAGGGGAGCCGUAGGGAAACCGAGUCUUAACUGGGCGUUCAGUCUCUGGAUAUAGACCCGAAACCAGGUGAUCUAGCCAUGGGCAGGUUGAAGGUUGAGUAACAUCAACUGGAGGACCGAACCGACUAAUGUUGAAAAAUUAGCGGAUGACUUGUGGCUAGGGGUGAAAGGCCAAUCAAACCUGGAGAUAGCUGGUUCUCCCCGAAAGCUAUUUAGGUAGCGCCUCGGACGAAUACUACUGGGGGUAGAGCACUGUUAAGGCUAGGGGGUCAUCCCGACUUACCAACCCUUUGCAAACUCCGAAUACCAGUAAGUACUAUCCGGGAGACACACGGCGGGUGCUAACGUCCGUCGUGGAGAGGGAAACAACCCAGACCGCCAGCUAAGGUCCCAAAUUACUACUAAGUGGGAAACGAUGUGGGAAGGCUCAGACAGCCAGGAUGUUGGCUUAGAAGCAGCCAUCAUUUAAAGAAAGCGUAAUAGCUCACUGGUCGAGUCGGCCUGCGCGGAAGAUGUAACGGGGCUAAGUAGUAAACCGAAGCUGCGGCAAUGUGCUUUUGCACAUUGGGUAGGGGAGCGUUCUGUAAGCGGUUGAAGGUGUGUGGUAACGCAUGCUGGACGUAUCAGAAGUGCGAAUGCUGACAUGAGUAACGAUAAAGGGGGUGAAAAACCUCCUCGCCGGAAGACCAAGGGUUCCUGUCCAACGUUAAUCGGGGCAGGGUAAGUCGACCCCUAAGGCGAGGCCGAAAGGCGUAGUCGAUGGGAAACGGGUUAAUAUUCCCGUACUUCUUACAAUUGCGAUGGGGGGACGGAGAAGGCUAGGUGGGCCUGGCGACGGUUGUCCAGGUUCAAGUGCGUAGGCUUGAGAGUUAGGUAAAUCCGGCUCUCUUUAAGGCUGAGACACGACGUCGAGCACUACGGUGGUGAAGUCAUUGAUGCCAUGCUUCCAGGAAAAGCCUCUAAGCUUCAGAUUGUAAGGAAUCGUACCCCAAACCGACACAGGUGGUCGGGUAGAGAAUACCAAGGCGCUUGAGAGAACUCGGGUGAAGGAACUAGGCAAAAUGGUACCGUAACUUCGGGAGAAGGUACGCUCUCGACGGUGAAGUCCCUUGCGGAUGGAGCUAUUGAGAGUCGCAGAUACCAGGUGGCUGCAACUGUUUAUUAAAAACACAGCACUGUGCAAAAUCGUAAGAUGACGUAUACGGUGUGACGCCUGCCCGGUGCCGGAAGGUUAAUUGAUGGGGUUAGACUUCGGUCGAAGCUCUUGAUCGAAGCCCCGGUAAACGGCGGCCGUAACUAUAACGGUCCUAAGGUAGCGAAAUUCCUUGUCGGGUAAGUUCCGACCUGCACGAAUGGCGUAAUGAUGGCCACGCUGUCUCCACCCGAGACUCAGUGAAAUUGAAAUCGCUGUGAAGAUGCAGUGUACCCGCGGCUAGACGGAAAGACCCCGUGAACCUUUACUACAGCUUGGCACUGAACAUUGACCCUACAUGUGUAGGAUAGGUGGGAGGCUUUGAAGCACGUACGCCAGUAUGUGUGGAGCCGUCCUUGAAAUACCACCCUUGUAGUGUUGAUGUUCUAACGUUGACCCCUAAUCGGGGUUGCGGACAGUGCCUGGUGGGUAGUUUGACUGGGGCGGUCUCCUCCCAAAGAGUAACGGAGGAGCACGAAGGUGGGCUAAUCACGGUUGGACAUCGUGAGGUUAGUGCAAUGGCAUAAGCCCGCUUGACUGCGAGAAUGACAAUUCGAGCAGGUGCGAAAGCAGGUCAUAGUGAUCCGGUGGUUCUGAAUGGAAGGGCCAUCGCUCAACGGAUAAAAGGUACUCCGGGGAUAACAGGCUGAUACCGCCCAAGAGUUCAUAUCGACGGCGGUGUUUGGCACCUCGAUGUCGGCUCAUCACAUCCUGGGGCUGAAGUCGGUCCCAAGGGUAUGGCUGUUCGCCAUUUAAAGUGGUACGCGAGCUGGGUUUAGAACGUCGUGAGACAGUUCGGUCCCUAUCUGCCGUGGGCGUUGGAAGAUUGAAGGGGGCUGCUCCUAGUACGAGAGGACCGGAGUGGACGAACCUCUGGUGUUCGGGUUGUGUCGCCAGACGCAUUGCCCGGUAGCUAAGUUCGGAAUCGAUAACCGCUGAAAGCAUCUAAGCGGGAAGCGAGCCCUGAGAUGAGUCUUCCCUGAUACUUUAAGUAUCCUAAAGGGUUGU